GAUGAACGCUGGCGGCGUGCCUAAUACAUGCAAGUCGAGCGAACAGACGAGGAGGUUGCUCCUCUGACGUUAGCGGCGGAAGGGUGAGUAACACGUGGAUAACCUACCUAUAAGACUGGGAUAACUUCGGGAAACCGGAGCUAAUACCGGAUAAUAUAUUGAACCGCAUGGUUCAAUAGUGAAAGACGGUUUUGCUGUCACUUAUAGAUGGAUCCGCGCCGCAUUAGCUAGUUGGUAAGGUAACGGCUUACCAAGGCAACGAUGCGUAGCCGACCUGAGAGGGUGAUCGGCCACACUGGAACUGAGACACGGUCCAGACUCCUACGGGAGGCAGCAGUAGGGAAUCUUCCGCAAUGGGCGAAAGCUUGACGGAGCAACGCCGCGUGAGUGAUGAAGGUCUUCGGAUCGUAAAACUCUGUUAUUAGGGAAGAACAAAUGUGUAAGUAACUAUGCACGUCUUGACGGUACCUAAUCAGAAAGCCACGGCUAACUACGUG
This 497-nucleotide ribosomal RNA is filed under the name uncultured bacterium. RNAcentral describes it as "partial 16S ribosomal RNA". It matches the Rfam family "Bacterial small subunit ribosomal RNA", at positions 28 to 507 of the family's 1533-position model. The record is from RNAcentral.